GUGGGUUACGGCGACAUGGCGCCCGUCACCGUGGGCGGGAAGCUGGUGGGGUCUCUGUGCGCCAUCGCGGGGGUGCUCACCA
Molecule: regulatory RNA element, 82 nt
Organism: Balearica pavonina (black crowned-crane)
Lineage: Eukaryota; Metazoa; Chordata; Aves; Gruiformes; Gruidae
Rfam family: Potassium channel RNA editing signal
About the family: This family represents a group of sequences related to the human potassium channel Kv1.1 hairpin element which directs the efficient modification of an adenosine to inosine by an adenosine deaminase acting on RNA (ADAR). The ADAR modification causes an isoleucine/valine recoding event which lies in the ion-conducting pore of the potassium channel.
Source: Rfam